UCGAGGGGUAGGGUGCUUCGGCACUUGAGACCGGCGUACGGGUGCGUAACGCGUGUACAAUCUACCUUUUGCUAAGGGAUAGCCCGAAGAAAUUUGGAUUAAUACCUUAUAGUAUUAUUUGGUGGCAUCAUUAAAUAAUUAAAGCUACGGUGGCAAAAGAUGAGUACGCGUCCCAUUAGCUAGUUGGAGUGGUAACGGCACACCAAGGCUACGAUGGGUAGGGGUUCUGAGAGGGAUGUCCCCCACACUGGUACUGAGACACGGACCAGACUCCUACGGGAGGCAGCAGUGAGGAAUAUUGGACAAUGGUCGGAAGACUGAUCCAGCCAUGCCGCGUGCAGGAUGACGGCCUUAUGGGUUGUAAACUGCUUUUGUAUGGGAAGAAUAAGGUCUACGUGUAGAUUGAUGACGGUACCAUACGAAUAAGCAUCGGCUAACUCCGUGCCAGCAG
Molecule: ribosomal RNA, 451 nt
Filed under: Capnocytophaga cynodegmi
Lineage: Bacteria; Pseudomonadati; Bacteroidota; Flavobacteriia; Flavobacteriales; Flavobacteriaceae
Description: bacterial SSU rRNA
Rfam family: Bacterial small subunit ribosomal RNA
Source: RNAcentral